UAGCUCUGGCUUCCCUUCAUAACGCUUAAAUCUUUCGCCUUUUACUAAAGAUUUCCGUGGAGGGGAGCAACUCAAUGAGGUCUGGUAAACCCAGUUUUUACUGUGGUCUACUUCCCAGUAGGA
Small nuclear RNA from Macrobrachium nipponense, 123 nucleotides. RefSeq annotates it as U5 spliceosomal RNA. Lineage: Eukaryota; Metazoa; Arthropoda; Malacostraca; Decapoda; Palaemonidae. The transcript has a single exon. The record is from RefSeq and is a predicted model, not a curated record.